Molecule: non-coding RNA, 168 nt
Organism: Triticum aestivum (bread wheat)
Lineage: Eukaryota; Viridiplantae; Streptophyta; Magnoliopsida; Poales; Poaceae
Source: Rfam
CUACUACUCCCUCCGUUCCGAAUUACUUGUCUUGGAUUUGUCUAGAUACGGAUGUAUCUCGCACUAAAAUGAGUCUAGAUACGGAUGUAUCUAGCACUAAAAUGAGUCUAGAUACAUCCGUAUCUAGACAAAUCUAAGACAAGUAAUUCGGAAGGGAGGGAGUACCAG